AAAUUAAUCAUAGUGGGCAGAACAAGCAAUGAGGUUGGCAGAGCCAAUCACGAGAUAGCGAGAUCCUAUUGGCAUCUUUUAGCAAAUAUUUUCAUAUAUCCGUUAGGGAACACCUUCUCUGUGAAUUGCGCGUGUGCAAUAACUUGCACUUAUUUUAAAUAGCGCAAUUUGUUUUAAACUCUGGCAAAGGGUAACGUCUACGAAACUUAGUCCACUCAGUUAGAAGCGUAUUUUGUUAUUGGAAACUGAAAACGGUAUUGAGAUCAAAUGUUUAAUCGAUGAGAAAAUUAGCAGAAUGUCGGCCAAAAUCCAUCUUCUUCCACUGCCUGCCACUGUGCUUCCUUUCAUCACCAUAUUUGGUAGUGAGUGGAAACGCCAACCGGAUGCUUCACAUUUAUACAGAUGGUGAAAUAUCUGUGGUAUUACUCCUCUUUACAUGUAUAUAUUACCAUAAGUAUUUAUAUGUUCCUGCUACCAGUCACUUUUCAGCCCUGUUUAAAUAUAUAUCCGCCUAUCACGCCUACACUGACACACACUUUGUUUUUCGUUUCUUUCCUUAUUUAAAAAAAAGUGUUUGUUUUUACUUCUGGUUUGUCUGUCAACCUUAAAGUCAACCAAAACGAUAAUGAUUCUGAGGAGAAUUUUGGCAAAUUGUAGGCACUAUUUGAUUAUUGAUAUGCCCCGUAGUUGCUAACGGUUGCCAUGGCAACAGCUAAUCAUACAACUGGACGGCUAACUACUACUAGCUAGGUAACGUGUUUACUCUCAAGGCACAGWGUCUGAGGCAUUGCCCCGUCACAUUUCCGCCUCAAGAGGUUGUGCAGCAGGGCCUCCACUGCAUCGGUUAGCGUGCAGAACUCUCUUCCAGACAUGCCCCCRGUGGAGAAGCUACAGUUGACAGAGGUUGUGAAGUCCAGUUUGGACCUCUGUGAAGCGGUGGUGUAUGAAGACGAGCAGCAGAGGUUCAGAGAACCGAGGCAGGAGACGAUCCAAAUGGACAGAGCUGAGUUUGGCUAUGGUCUCCCUCUUUCACGCCUCCCUAGAGCAGCAGAGGGCUGACACACCCCCUGCCCGUCAUUAAAAGGUCAUGUCAAAAAGGUUAAUCGUCUCUUAUGGGAGAAAUGACAGGCGUCUGGUAACUGCAGAUCUAGGGGGUAGUUUAGUGUCCUCUCCUGAACUGGUUAACCAGAUUGACCACUAUGUUCAGUGCAGUGGUCAGUAUGGGUUAUGAGGAAAGCAAUGAUAGGUGAAAGCAAUAUGUUGGAUGCCUUCUCUGGGGAAUGCAGUGAAGGAAAGGAGACAAGGAGAGGGAGCCAUUCUAGACUAAUAGGCUAUAGAGAUGGAAAAUACAGCAUGGACAGUGUAAGUAUUUUUUUGAGUCUUUGAGGAGAAGGCCUAGCGAUAAAUUUGCCCAGGCUCUGCAGGGACACGGUCCUUCUGAGAGCAAUAAAAAUAAAACAUUUUCUUUCGAUUCAUUUAUUUGUCAGAAAGAAAGAGAUUACCAGUGGAAAUAUAUUUCCAGAGCUCCCUCCGUUGGACAUGCAGUACUGGAAGAGGUCAGAGGAGAGAAGACUGGCUGCAAUGAACAAAGUAGGAAAGACCAAGAGCUCCUCAAGAAAUGACGUACUCAUGCUAGGACCAUGCAGGAGAGGAACAUCUUAGAGCACAAGCAAGAAAGGUGUGAGAGACAUAUGAGAGGGGAGACGUUGGAAAAGAUGGCUGUGCAGACACUAAGCUGAAGCUGUCCAGGUUGGAGAUAGCGACAGGCCUAGCUAGUGAUGGAGCACUGUGCCUCCAGUAUGCAGUCAGUCAUCCUGCAGUCAGAUGUCGCCAGGGAGGCCCCUCCCACAGCAGUGUUGCCGAAAGUGGUGGGGUCAAAACCCUCAACCCCCUACCAGAGAUAGAGAUUGUUCCUGUACCAGAAACAACACGUGGAAGCCUGGGUGGCCAGAGACAGGGAGUUGGAGCAGUGUAUCAGGAGCCAUGUUCAGAUGAUGAAAGAGGCCCAGGGGCACUGGCCAAGAGGAGAUUGAAGCUGCAAGACAAGAUAUGGAGGAAGCCAAGAGGUUGCAGUCAGAACUCGCUGAGAGAGAUCGAGUAUCGAUUCAUCGUGUUUACUGGGGAGAACUCUGCUAUGACAAGUGAAAGUAUUUUUGAGUGUGUAGCCCUACUGCCAUUUUGAAUUGUUGCAAAAUUAAAUUAACUUACAUUGCAUAUAAAAAUAGAAGUACAGGAGAGGGUAGUAUGGAAUUAUAGCACUCUACAAACACAGUUUCCUCAUUCACAAUGGUAUCCAAUACCCAUUCAUCAAUAAACAUUUCAUAUUCUUACUUGA
Molecule: long non-coding RNA, 2335 nt
Organism: Salvelinus sp. IW2-2015
Lineage: Eukaryota; Metazoa; Chordata; Actinopteri; Salmoniformes; Salmonidae
Source: RefSeq, a predicted model, not a curated record